Molecule: unclassified non-coding RNA, 222 nt
Filed under: plant metagenome
Description: partial contains small subunit ribosomal RNA, internal transcribed spacer 1, and 5.8S ribosomal RNA
Source: RNAcentral
UCUCCGUUGGUGAACCAGCGGAGGGAUCAUUAGAGAGUUGCAAAACUCCCAAACCAUUGUGAACAUACCUUCAACGUUGCUUCGGCGGGUUGGCCCCGGUCUCCGGGGUCCCCGGCCCUCACGGGCGCCCGCCGGAGGUACCUAACUCUUGAACUGUUAUGGCCUCUCUGAGUCUUUGUACUUAAUAAGUCAAAACUUUCAACAACGGAUCUCUUGGUUCUG